RNAcentral lists this long non-coding RNA (288 nucleotides) under Elaeis guineensis (African oil palm). RNAcentral's name for it is "long non-coding RNA (EGUI_LNC013277)". Lineage: Eukaryota; Viridiplantae; Streptophyta; Magnoliopsida; Arecales; Arecaceae. The record is from RNAcentral.
CAUACUUCAUAAAUAUUUCAAUAAGAUUUAUCAAAGUAUUUUCAUUAUUAGUUUUGACACCAAAAUUAAAUACCAAUAUUCAAGAUGGCACAUAUCCAAACAUACUCAUUUUUUAUAAAUAUUUCAAGUAAGCAAAUGAGCAUCUUAUAUCUUAAGCAUAUCUUUCUCCCAUAUACUCAAUUUAAACAUGAAGUAUAUAAGCAUAUAAUUAAUUCAAACAUAAACUCAAUAAGCAUAUACUCAACAUAACAUCUCUCCCUCUUUUUAAUAGCAUCAAAAAGUCCAAGA